Molecule: ribosomal RNA, 259 nt
Filed under: Escherichia coli
Lineage: Bacteria; Pseudomonadati; Pseudomonadota; Gammaproteobacteria; Enterobacterales; Enterobacteriaceae
Description: partial 23S ribosomal RNA
Rfam family: Bacterial large subunit ribosomal RNA
Source: RNAcentral
CUGGAGGUAUCAGAAGUGCGAAUGCUGACAUAAGUAACGAUAAAGCGGGUGAAAAGCCCGCUCGCCGGAAGACCAAGGGUUCCUGUCCAACGUUAAUCGGGGCAGGGUGAGUCGACCCCUAAGGCGAGGCCGAAAGGCGUAGUCGAUGGGAAACAGGUUAAUAUUCCUGUACUUGGUGUUACUGCGAAGGGGGGACGGAGAAGGCUAUGUUGGCCGGGCGACGGUUGUCCCGGUUUAAGCGUGUAGGCUGGUUUUCCAG